AACCUACUCCCUCCGUCCGAAAAUACUUGUCAUUGAAAUUGAUGUAUCUAGAUGUAUUUUAGUUUUAGAUACAUCAUUUUUAUCCAUUUGUGCGAGAAGUAAUUCCGGAUGAAGUGAGUAUAUU
Molecule: microRNA precursor, 124 nt
Filed under: Hordeum vulgare
Lineage: Eukaryota; Viridiplantae; Streptophyta; Magnoliopsida; Poales; Poaceae
Description: microRNA MIR1122
Rfam family: MIR1120/MIR1122 microRNA precursor family
Source: RNAcentral